Molecule: long non-coding RNA, 1743 nt
Filed under: Setaria italica (foxtail millet)
Lineage: Eukaryota; Viridiplantae; Streptophyta; Magnoliopsida; Poales; Poaceae
Description: long non-coding RNA (SITA_LNC003583)
Source: RNAcentral
GAGUGUGGGAUUUUUAGAGAGGAAACUAGCUAUUGGGAUUUGAAGAGUGGGAAAUGAAUAGUCUGUUGGAGGAAGCGACUCAAUAUGAAGAGGAAUCUUUUUGCCAAAUUGGAUAGAGAGUCAAAUGGAGAGUAAAAAAGGAUAGAAUGUUGGAGUUGCUCUAAGAGCAUCUCCAACAGACUACCUAUUUUUAGCUCUCUAUUUAACUCUCUAUUUGAAUUGGAAAAAAAAUUCAUCUCCAUACUCCAACGGACUAUCCAUUUCCCACUCUCCAAAUCUCAACGGCUAUUGGUAGACCCACCUCUAUAUAUAUAUACCAUUUAUAUAUUUUUCUUUUCUUUUUCUUUCUAUUUAUUUUUCUCUUUCCAUUCUUUUUUCUUUUCCUUCCUUGUUUCUUUUUCUUUCCACCGGCGAUACUCUUAUCUAGUCGAUGGCUCUCUGCGCUCUCUUAGCAUGUGUUUGGUUAUCGGGUCGAUCUGGGUUGGAACGGGUUCGACCUACAUCAACCCGUGUUUGGUUCAAAAGGUAUCUAGGUUGGGUCGGACCUAGGAGCGGAUAUUUGCUGGAGAUGUGGGUUCGUUGCGUUUCUCCAAAACCAACGGACCACGCUGACCCAGUCGAUGUGAUCACCCCCCCAACCCUAUCGUCAACCCUACCAUCCGUCGCCAGGCACAUCCUCCGUCGCCUCCCCUGCCAUCCGCCACCUCCACUACUAUCCGCCGCCUCCCCUCACCCAGUCACCCCUCUCUCCCGGGUGGAUCUCGCCCGACGCCCGUCCCCGGCCCUCCCGCCGCCUCCCCUCCCAUCCACCCACCUCCCCUCACCCGGUCACCCCUCUCUCCCGGCUGGAUCUCGCCCGAUGCUCGUCGCUGCCCCUCCCGUCCGCUGCCUUCCCUGCUCUCCACGGCACACCUUCCCUCCGUCGCACUUCUCCAUCGCCUCCUGUCGCACCGGAGGAAGGACAUCUUCAAGAUCUCAGCUGUGUUUUGCCAAGGUAAGGAAACCCUACCAUGCGUCUUUGGUAGAAAUUUGAACUCAUCUUGUUGGACCAUAGUUCUAGAUUGUCUUGUGGGAGUUGAAUGGAACAAACAAUCCAAUAGCAUCACAUAUUGCAGAACAUCUUAUUUCAUUGAAAGUGCACUGAGAAUCUUCAAUUCUCUGAUUAAUUGUAUGUCGUGUGCUCCUGGUUCAAUGGUCUCUAAGAACAGUGUUUCUUUCAUUCUUGUAUUGUAGAUGGAUAAGAGGACCAAGAUUGUAACUUAUGCUACUACUGCAUACAUGCUAUUGUCAAUGAUGGCCAUGAUUAUUCAGUCUAGAAAACGUAAAUGAUGUACAAAAAGGGUUGGUAUUACCUAUAGGCCUACAGAGGAAAGGGAUAGGAUGAGAGUAGAAUAUCUAAAUAACAAAAUUUGGAAGGAUGACACAACUUGCUUGAAUAUGUUAAGACUUAAUAGAGGCAAGUUCAUUCGGUUUUGCAAUAUUAUUAGAAAUCGUGGUUUGCUUAAAGAUAUAUGUAACUUGUGUGUUGAGCAACAGGUGGGUAUGUUUCUAAAUACAGUGGGACAUAACCUUAGGAAUAGGUUAGUUGGAACUAAUUUUGAUAGAUCGAGAGAAAUAGUUAGCCGCUAUUUCAACAAAGUACUCCAUGCUAUUGAUGAGCUGCGAGGGGAACUAAUUAGGACCCCGUCUUUGGACACUCCAAGCAAAAUUGCAGGGAACAACAGAUAGGAUCCUUACUUUAAG